Molecule: ribosomal RNA, 67 nt
Filed under: uncultured bacterium
Lineage: Bacteria
Description: partial 16S ribosomal RNA
Source: RNAcentral
CGACGCCGCGUGUGGGGUGAACGCCUUCGGGUCGUAAACCACUUUUCUCAGGGAGGAAUAAUGACAG